RNAcentral lists this ribosomal RNA (609 nucleotides) under Microbacterium sp. 1 CSC13Vf. RNAcentral's name for it is "bacterial SSU rRNA". It matches the Rfam family "Bacterial small subunit ribosomal RNA", at positions 55 to 674 of the family's 1533-position model. The record is from RNAcentral. RNAcentral also lists the same sequence under 1 other name. Lineage: Bacteria; Bacillati; Actinomycetota; Actinomycetes; Micrococcales; Microbacteriaceae.
AUGCAAGUCGAACGAUGAACCUGGAGCUUGCUCUGGGGGAUUAGUGGCGAACGGGUGAGUAACACGUGAGCAACCUGCCCCUGACUCUGGGAUAAGCGCUGGAAACGGCGUCUAAUACUGGAUACGAGUAGCGAUCGCAUGGUCAGCUACUGGAAAGAUUUUUUGGUUGGGGAUGGGCUCGCGGCCUAUCAGCUUGUUGGUGAGGUAAUGGCUCACCAAGGCGUCGACGGGUAGCCGGCCUGAGAGGGUGACCGGCCACACUGGGACUGAGACACGGCCCAGACUCCUACGGGAGGCAGCAGUGGGGAAUAUUGCACAAUGGGCGGAAGCCUGAUGCAGCAACGCCGCGUGAGGGAUGACGGCCUUCGGGUUGUAAACCUCUUUUAGCAGGGAAGAAGCGAGAGUGACGGUACCUGCAGAAAAAGCGCCGGCUAACUACGUGCCAGCAGCCGCGGUAAUACGUAGGGCGCAAGCGUUAUCCGGAAUUAUUGGGCGUAAAGAGCUCGUAGGCGGUUUGUCGCGUCUGCUGUGAAAUCCCGAGGCUCAACCUCGGGCCUGCAGUGGGUACGGGCAGACUAGAGUGCGGUAGGGGAGAUUGGAAUUCCUGGU